RNAcentral lists this long non-coding RNA (1076 nucleotides) under Homo sapiens (human). RNAcentral's name for it is "TMEM161B divergent transcript". The record is from RNAcentral. Lineage: Eukaryota; Metazoa; Chordata; Mammalia; Primates; Hominidae.
AGAGGUGAAGAUACGCAGGACGUCCUCUAAAGCAACUUCCGUGGGUGCCAGGUUGUGGGCUGGGGGCGGUGCUGACCUUGAGAGAGCGGAGGAGGCGCAGGCGCAGCACAGUUUAAACUUGAUUUUGUGAGGGGACGAACAGCGUGACAAUUAAAAGAAGAUCUGGGAAUCAAAAGCUUCCUGAGGCCUUCACCAGAAGCAGAUGCUGGUGCCGUGCUUCUACAGCCUGCAGAACUGAAGGACUUUACAGCUUCUCUUUCGCAUAUCCAAAUUGCCAGCAUCACCGCUCUUGCACUCCAAGCCAUUAUUAAGUAAAGUAAAGAACACAAACACUGUGAUACUGCUACACUUGAUCUGAUAACCAAGAAGUCUACUAAGUGACUAACAGAGCAACUGGGAACCUAAUUCUGACCAAAAAGGAGGAAUUGUUUGGCUAAUUGGAAGUGACAGAAACCUUGGGAGAAAGCAACCGCAUACCAAGGAUAAUUAUAAGAAGAAGAGAAGACAUGGAGAAGAGGAGGGAGUAGUUGUGACCGUGGAGGCAGAGAAUGGAGUAAUGUGAUCAUAAAUCAAGGAAUGCUGACAGCCACUAAAGCUGGAGAAGGCCAAGGACAGAUAUUCAAUCCUCCCGUAGAAGUACAGCCCUGCUAAUGCAUUGAUUUUGGACUUCUGGCCUCAGAACUGUCUGGAAAGCAUGGAAAUUUGUAUCUUCAUUCACUUUUGUUUUCAUGGACUCUUUUCAUGUUUGAACUUUUCAUGGUAUGAGCUGUUUUAUAAUCUAUAAUAUGGAAUGUUUCUCAUACGAAUGUUUUUCUUAUUGAAGAAUGCCAUAGAAAUAAGGGUGUGAGGUAUACUUACUUGACAGGAGAAUUUUACUCCUUUUAUUUUAUUUACUUAUUUAUUUUUAAGACGGAGUCCUGCUGUGUUGUCCAGGCUGGUCUUGAACCCCUGGACUCAAACGAUCUUUCUCCUUGGCCUCCCAAAGUUCUGGGAUUACAGGUAUGAGCUACAGUGCCCUGAGAGUCCUUUUUAAAGUAGUGAAUGCUCAAACAUGGAAUUAAAUUUAGGCAAAGCUC